CCGUCACUGCUAUCGGGUUCGAUUAGCCAUGCGAGUUGAGAGGGUUUAGACCCUCAGCGGACUGCUCAGUAACACGUGGAUAACCUGCCCUAAGGUGGAGAAUAACCCCGGGAAACUGGGGAUAAUACUCCAUAGACUAGAGACACUGGAAUGUUCUUUAGUCGAAAGCUGAGGCUUAGGAUGGAUCUGCUCGAUUAGGUUGUUGUUGGGGUAACGGCCCAACAAGCCUGUAAUCGAUACGGGUUGUGGGAGCAAGAGCCCGGAGAUGGAAUCUGAGACACGAUUCCAGGCCCUACGGGGCGCAGGCGCGAAAACUUUACAAUGCAGGAAACUGUGAUAAGGGAACCCCGAGUGCCCGUAUACGCGGGCUGUGUGUUUAAAAAGCAUCUGAAGAAAGGGCCGGGCAAGACCGGUGCCAGCCGCCGCGGUAAUACCGGCGGCUCGCGUGGUGGCCACCAUUAUUGGGCUUAAAGCGUCCGUAGCUGGACUCUUAAGUCUCUUGGGAAAUCCGCCGGCUUAACCGACGGGCGUCUAAGAGAUACUGGGAGUCUAGGGACCGGGAGAGGUGAGAGGUACUCCGGGGGUAGGAGUGAAAUCCUG
RNAcentral lists this ribosomal RNA (600 nucleotides) under uncultured archaeon. RNAcentral's name for it is "bacterial SSU rRNA". It matches the Rfam family "Archaeal small subunit ribosomal RNA", at positions 21 to 642 of the family's 1478-position model. The record is from RNAcentral.